RNAcentral lists this ribosomal RNA (468 nucleotides) under uncultured bacterium. RNAcentral describes it as "partial 16S ribosomal RNA". It matches the Rfam family "Bacterial small subunit ribosomal RNA", at positions 28 to 507 of the family's 1533-position model. The record is from RNAcentral.
GACGAACGCUGGCGGCGUGCUUAACACAUGCAAGUCGAACGGACAGGCCCUGCUUUUGUGGGGUGCUCGAGUGGCGAACGGGUGAGUAACACGUGAGUAACCUGCCCUUGACUUUGGGAUAACUUCAGGAAACUGGGGCUAAUACCGGAUAGGAGCUCCUGCUGCAUGGUGGGGGUUGGAAAGUUUCGGCGGUUGGGGAUGGUCUCGCGGCUUAUCAGCUUGUUGGUGGGGUAGUGGCUUACCAAGGCUUUGACGGGUAGCCGGCCUGGGAGGGUGACCGGCCACAUUGGGACUGAGAUACGGCCCAGACUCCUACGGGAGGCAGCAGUGGGGAAUAUUGCACAAUGGGCGGAAGCCUGAUGCAGCAACGCCGCGUGCGGGAUGACGGCCUUCGGGUUGUAAACCGCUUUCGCCUGUGACGAAGCGUGAGUGACGGUAAUGGGUAAAGAAGCACCGGCUAACUACGUG